GCCAGGUGUGGUGGUGCAUACCUGUAAUCCCAGCUACUAGGGAGGCUGAGGCAGGUGAAUCGCUUGAGGCCAGGAGGCAGAGGUUGCAGUGAUCUGAGAUGGCGCACUGUACUCCAGCCUGGGCAACAGAGUGAGACUCUGUCUCAA
Papio anubis (olive baboon) is the source of this 147-nucleotide unclassified non-coding RNA. It matches the Rfam family "Metazoan signal recognition particle RNA". Rfam says of the family: The signal recognition particle (SRP) is a universally conserved ribonucleoprotein. It is involved in the co-translational targeting of proteins to membranes. The record is from Ensembl. NCBI's taxonomy places the organism in Eukaryota, Metazoa, Chordata, Mammalia, Primates, Cercopithecidae.